GGUUAAGUUAUUAAGGGCGCAUGGUGGAUGCCUUGGCACUAGGAGCCGAUGAAGGACGGGACUAACACCGAUAUGCUUCGGGGAGCUGUAAGUAAGCUUUGAUCCGGAGAUUUCCGAAUGGGGGAACCCAACUUGUUAUGCAAGUUAUCACCUAAUGAAUAUAUAGUUAGGUUGAAGGUAGACGUUGUGAACUGAAACAUCUCAUUAGCAACAGGAAUAGAAAGAAAAAUCGAUACCGUCAGUAGCGGCGAGCGAAAUCGGUAGAGCCCAAACCAAAGUGCUUGCACUUUGGGGUUGUAGGACUGACAUUGUGGAGUUACAAAGUUAACAUUUAGCAGAAUCAGCUGGGAAGCUGAGCGAGACAGGGUGAUAGCCCCGUAUGCGAAAAAUGUUGACCUCCCGUCAGGAUCCUGAGUACGGCCGGACACGUGAAAUCCGGUCGGAAUCCGCGAGGACCAUCUCGCAAGGCUAAAUACUCCCUAGUGACCGAUAGUGAACCAGUACCGUGAGGGAAAGGUGAAAAGCACCCCGGAAGGGGAGUGAAAAAGUUCCUGAAACCAUGUGCCUACAAGAAGUUAGAGCCCGUUAAUGGGUGAUAGCGUGCCUUUUGUAGAAUGAACCGGCGAGUUACGAUAACGUGCAAGGUUAAGGUGGAAAGACCGGAGCCGUAGCGAAAGCGAGUCUGAAAUGGGCGAGUUAGUACGUUGUUGUAGACCCGAAACCAGGUGACCUACCCAUGUCCAGGGUGAAGGUGCGGUAAAACGCACUGGAGGCCCGAACCCGUGCAUGUUGAAAAAUGCUGGGAUGAGGUGUGGGUAGCGGUGAAAUUCCAAUCGAACUUGGAGAUAGCUGGUUCUCUCCGAAAUAGCUUUAGGGCUAGCCUCGGAAUGUAGCGUGUUGGAGGUAGAGCACUGUUUUGGUGCGGGGCCCAUCUCGGGUUACCAAAUUAAGAUAAACUCCGAAUGCCAAUCACGUAUGUCCGGGAGUCAGACAGUGAGUGAUAAGAUCCAUUGUCGAA
RNAcentral lists this ribosomal RNA (1018 nucleotides) under Weissella cibaria. RNAcentral describes it as "partial 23S ribosomal RNA". It matches the Rfam family "Bacterial large subunit ribosomal RNA", at positions 1 to 1015 of the family's 2925-position model. Lineage: Bacteria; Bacillati; Bacillota; Bacilli; Lactobacillales; Lactobacillaceae. The record is from RNAcentral.